Molecule: ribosomal RNA, 516 nt
Filed under: uncultured bacterium
Lineage: Bacteria
Description: bacterial SSU rRNA
Rfam family: Bacterial small subunit ribosomal RNA
Source: RNAcentral
AGCGAACGUUAGCGGCGGGCCUAACACAUGCAAGUCGAGCGAGAAAGGGGGUUCGCCCCCGAGUACAGCGGCGGACGGGUGAGUAACACGUAGGUAAUUUUCCCUUGAGCGGGGGACAACGUUCCGAAAGGGACGCUAAUACCGCAUAAGUUCUUGGGUGCUUCGGCACUGGAGAGGAAAGCUAGGCCGCAAGGUCUGGCACUCGAGGAGAAGCCUGCGUCGCAUCAGCUAGUUGGUGGGGUAAUGGCCUACCAAGGCAAAGACGCGUAGCUGGUCUGAGAGGAUGAUCAGCCACACUGGGACUGAGACACGGCCCAGACUCCUACGGGAGGCAGCAGUGGGGAAUAUUGGACAAUGGGGGGCAACCCUGAUCCAGCCAUGCCGCGUGUGUGAAGAAGGCCCUAGGGUUGUAAAGCACUUUCAGUGGGGAGAAAGGUUAUUCACCUAAUACGUGAGUAGAUUGAUGUUACCCACAGAAGAAGCACCGGCUAACUCCGUGCCAGCAGCCGCGGUAAU